This 19-nucleotide non-coding RNA is filed under the name Arabidopsis thaliana (thale cress). The record is from RNAcentral. Lineage: Eukaryota; Viridiplantae; Streptophyta; Magnoliopsida; Brassicales; Brassicaceae.
GGAGGACAUUGUCAGGUGG